Molecule: ribosomal RNA, 497 nt
Filed under: uncultured bacterium
Lineage: Bacteria
Description: partial 16S ribosomal RNA
Rfam family: Bacterial small subunit ribosomal RNA
Source: RNAcentral
GAUGAACGCUGGCGGCGUGCCUAAUACAUGCAAGUCGAGCGAACGGACGAGAAGCUUGCUUCUCUGAUGUUAGCGGCGGACGGGUGAGUAACACGUGGAUAACCUACCUAUAAGACUGGGAUAACUUCGGGAAACCGGAGCUAAUACCGGAUAAUAUAUUGAACCGCAUGGUUCAAUAGUGAAAGACGGUUUUGCUGUCACUUAUAGAUGGAUCCGCGCUGCAUUAGCUAGUUGGUAAGGUAACGGCUUACCAGGGCAACGAUGCAUAGCCGACCUGAGAGGGUGAUCGGCCACACUGGAACUGAGACACGGUCCAGACUCCUACGGGAGGCAGCAGUAGGGAAUCUUCCGCAAUGGGCGAAAGCCUGACGGAGCAACGCCGCGUGAGUGAUGAAGGUCUUCGGAUCGUAAAACUCUGUUAUUAGGGAAGAACAUAUGUGUAAGUAACUGUGCACAUCUUGACGGUACCUAAUCAGAAAGCCACGGCUAACUACGUG